Gorilla gorilla gorilla (western lowland gorilla) is the source of this 501-nucleotide long non-coding RNA. RefSeq lists it as uncharacterized. The record is from RefSeq and is a predicted model, not a curated record. Lineage: Eukaryota; Metazoa; Chordata; Mammalia; Primates; Hominidae. The transcript is spliced from 3 exons.
ACACCUCUUUUGCAUAAUCACAAUCAGUAGAAUUGGAACACCUCUUUUGCAUAAUCACAAUCAGUAGAAUUGGAACACCUCUUUUGCAUAAUCACAAUCUGUUGACCCCUUAUCUUUUGAAGAUCUGAUGCACAAACUCAGGGCAAUGCUGGUUCCCAACUGGAACUGUGGACCUCAGUGGUGUUGAACAAUCGGGAAAAGAAACAUACUUAUGAAAUGGAAAGGUCUCCACCAGUCAAUCGUAAGAAACAGUGAUGACUAUGACGUAGCCUUCAGCAUGGGGAAGUACCAAGUAGGUGUCCAGAUAAGCUGAAAGGCAAUGAAGUGACAGGAAGGAAAGGUCUGGGACUGCCUCACCAGCAGAAAUACACCAGGCACCUGGAAGUCCUUGCUGGUCACUUGCUCACUGCUCAGGGCAGGACCACUCAAGCUGGUGCCUGCAUUCUAUGCUACCAGCAGCAGCUGCCCUAGCUUCUUUACCACAUCAACGUUUUCAUACAC